UUCUAUUCUUGAUCCUAUGAAACUAAGUUGAGAGCGUGACCAGAGGGCAUGCCGGAUCCACCAGAGGCGCCGCCGCCUGCGCUCGCAGGCCGCGGGUGAAAAAGAAAACACAGCCUCGCUCGGCCCGGAGCGAAGAGGUGUGCCGGAGCGAAGAGAUGUCCCGGAGCGAAGAGGUGGCCCCGAGCGAAGAGGUGGCCCCGAGCGAAGAGGUG
RNAcentral lists this non-coding RNA (212 nucleotides) under Bos taurus (domestic cattle). RNAcentral describes it as "Bag-1 internal ribosome entry site (IRES)". It matches the Rfam family "Bag-1 internal ribosome entry site (IRES)", at positions 148 to 348 of the family's 370-position model. Rfam says of the family: This family represents the bag-1 internal ribosome entry site (IRES). When expressed the BAG-1 protein is known to enhance the anti-apoptotic properties of Bcl-2. Although bag-1 translation usually occurs via a cap-dependent mechanism it has been found to contain a IRES in its 5' UTR. The record is from Rfam by way of RNAcentral. Lineage: Eukaryota; Metazoa; Chordata; Mammalia; Artiodactyla; Bovidae.